CGCAUUAGCUAGUUGGUGAGGUAACGGCUCACCAAGGCGACGAUGCGUAGCCGACCUGAGAGGGUGAUCGGCCACACUGGGACUGAGACACGGCCCAGACUCCUACGGGAGGCAGCAGUAGGGAAUCUUCCGCAAUGGACGAAAGUCUGACGGAGCAACGCCGCGUGAGUGAUGAAGGUUUUCGGAUCGUAAAGCUCUGUUGUUAGGGAAGAACAAGUGCAAGAGUAACUGCUUGCACCAUGACGGUACCUAACCAGAAAGCCACGGCUAACUACGUGCCAGCAGCCGCGGUAAUACGUAGGUGGCAAGCGUUGUCCGGAAUUAUUGGGCGUAAAGGGCUCGCAGGCGGUUUCUUAAGUCUGAUGUGAAAGCCCCCGGCUCAACCGGGGAGGGUCAUUGGAAACUGGGAAACUUGAGUGCAGAAGAGGAGAGUGGAAUUCCACGUGUA
RNAcentral lists this ribosomal RNA (448 nucleotides) under uncultured bacterium. RNAcentral's name for it is "bacterial SSU rRNA". It matches the Rfam family "Bacterial small subunit ribosomal RNA", at positions 237 to 677 of the family's 1533-position model. The record is from RNAcentral.